GAGAGUAGGCGCAGGCGGUUGCAGGUUAGCUUGAAGAAAGCUAGCUUGAGGAAAGUCCGGGCUCCCGAAAGACCAGACUUGCUGGGUAACGCCCAGUGCGAGCGAUCGUGAGGAUAGUGCCACAGAAAAAUACCGCCUUCUGAAUGAUGAAUGAUGAAUGAUGAAAAGUUUUCAGAAUUCAGAAUUCAGAAUUCUGAAUUCAGUUGGUAAGGGUGCAAAGGUGCGGUAAGAGCGCACCAGCACGACUGAGAGGUCGUGGCUCGGUAAACCCCGGUUGGGAGCAAGGUAAGGGAACUACGGUUGGUCUUUUACCAGUUCCGUAAAAAAGAGCCGCUAGAGGCGUCUGGUAACAGGCGUCCCAGAUAGAUAACUGCCCUUAAAAUGUAAGAAUGUUUGGCAAAAUAUUUUUACAUUAGAGAACAGAACCCGGCUUAUGUCCGACUCUCUCCU
Molecule: non-coding RNA, 450 nt
Organism: Tolypothrix bouteillei VB521301
Lineage: Bacteria; Bacillati; Cyanobacteriota; Cyanophyceae; Nostocales; Tolypothrichaceae
Source: Rfam